Xyrichtys novacula (pearly razorfish) is the source of this 873-nucleotide non-coding RNA. The record is from the annotation of a GenBank genome assembly. Lineage: Eukaryota; Metazoa; Chordata; Actinopteri; Labriformes; Labridae.
CUGCUACGAGGUUCUAGUAACUAUAUGGGAUUCAGAUUUCCUCCUUUCCCCUGACAGAUUAACUACCUGUCACAGGAAACCACUGUAACAGUGGGAGGUUGUUGUUUGAUUGAAUUGAGACAAAAUUUGUGUUCACAAAUCGCCGCAUUUGUGAUUUUUAAGUUUGCAGUUGAAUCUGCUGUUGAGGGAUUUGUCACUUUGAUUCUUGUCUCUAUAGUCUGCUAUGAAGUUCUAGUAACUAUAUGGGAUUUAGAUUUCCUCCUUUCCCCUGACAGAUAAGCUAUCUGUCACAGGAAACCACUGUAACAGUGGGAGGUUGUUGUUUGAAUGAAUUCAGACAAAAUCCGUGAUCACAAAUCGCCGCAUUUGUGAUUUUAAAGUCUGCAGUUGAAUCUGCUGUUUAAGGAUUUGUCACUUUGAUUCUUGUUCCUGUAAAUGAUUUUAUUGAACCAAUCUGCCUGAGCAGAUGGUGUAAAGUUCUAUGUUUGAGGGUGCAGACGCAGCCUGCUGUGAAAUGUUAACCCUUUGUUGUCAGUGGAGAGACUGACCUUUUGGCCUUAAGCAGAUAAGGCCCUUCAAGGAGGCAGAGCCUAAAGGCCCCUUCCUGCAUACUUUCCAACUUCACAGCCACAAGAGGCUAGUUGGAUGACUGUUUCCUCUUCUCUUCUUCUUCUCCACUUGUGUUGAGCUUGUGCAGUUCUCCCAACUCCAUACUGCCCCACAUGGUUGCUUUUGGUAUUGAGCUAACACUGCUAUUAUCUGCCUGCAGUAUCAGCCAGCUGUACUGCCUCUCUGUAGUCAGUGUGUAACACUCUACAGACAUAAUUCAAGUGAUUGACUUGGUUGAUGAAGUUUGAUGUGCUUAUUCUAAAU